GCUGGCGGCAGGCCUACACAUGCAAGUCGAGCGGUAGAGAGAAGCUUGCUUCUCUUGAGAGCGGCGGACGGGUGAGUAAUGCCUAGGAAUCUGCCUGGUAGUGGGGGAUAACGUUCGGAAACGGACGCUAAUACCGCAUACGUCCUACGGGAGAAAGCAGGGGACCUUCGGGCCUUGCGCUAUCAGAUGAGCCUAGGUCGGAUUAGCUAGUUGGUGGGGUAAUGGCUCACCAAGGCGACGAUCCGUAACUGGUCUGAGAGGAUGAUCAGUCACACUGGAACUGAGACACGGUCCAGACUCCUACGGGAGGCAGCAGUGGGGAAUAUUGGACAAUGGGCGAAAGCCUGAUCCAGCCAUGCCGCGUGUGUGAAGAAGGUCUUCGGAUUGUAAAGCACUUUAAGUUGGGAGGAAGGGCAGUUACCUAAUACGUAAUUGUUUUGACGUUACCGACAGAAUAAGCACCGGCUAACUCUGUGCCAGCAGCCGCGGUAAUACAGAGGGUGCAAGCGUUAAUCGGAAUUACUGGGCGUAAAGCGCGCGUAGGUGGUUUGUUAAGUUGGAUGUGAAAUCCCCGGGCUCAACCUGGGAACUGCAUUCAAAACUGACUGACUAGAGUAUGGUAGAGGGUGGUGGAAUUUCCUGUGUAGCGGUGAAAUGCGUAGAUAUAGGAAGGAACACCAGUGGCGAAGGCGACCACCUGGACUAAUACUGACACUGAGGUGCGA
Molecule: ribosomal RNA, 725 nt
Filed under: Pseudomonas sp. S1ID5
Lineage: Bacteria; Pseudomonadati; Pseudomonadota; Gammaproteobacteria; Pseudomonadales; Pseudomonadaceae
Description: bacterial SSU rRNA
Rfam family: Bacterial small subunit ribosomal RNA
Source: RNAcentral